This 253-nucleotide ribosomal RNA is filed under the name uncultured bacterium. RNAcentral's name for it is "partial 16S ribosomal RNA". It matches the Rfam family "Bacterial small subunit ribosomal RNA", at positions 524 to 776 of the family's 1533-position model. The record is from RNAcentral.
GACAGAGGGUGCAAACGUUGUUCGGAAUUACUGGGCGUAAAGGGUGCGUAGGUGGCGUCGUAAGUCGGGUGUGAAAUCUCGGGGCUUAACUCCGAAACUGCAUUCGAUACUGCGGUGCUUGAGGACUGGAGAGGAGACUGGAAUUUACGGUGUAGCAGUGAGAUGCGUAGAGAUCGUAAGGAAGACCAGUGGCGAAGGCGGGUCUCUGGAAAGUUCCUGACACUGAGGCACGAAGGCCAGGGGAGCAAACGGG